GCCGAACCGUGCGAGCGUUGUUCGGAAUCACUGGGCUUAAAGGGUGCGUAGGCGGGUUGUCCAGUCUGGGGUGAAAUCCCACGGCUCAACCGUGGAAUUGCCUCAGAUACUGACGACCUCGAGGGAGGUAGGGGCGAGCGGAACUGUGGGUGGAGCGGUGAAAUGCGUUGAUAUCCACAGGAACUCCGGUGGCGAAGGCGGCUCGCUGGACCUCUUCUGACGCUGAGGCACGAAAGCUAGGGGAGAAAACGGG
RNAcentral lists this ribosomal RNA (253 nucleotides) under uncultured bacterium. RNAcentral describes it as "partial 16S ribosomal RNA". It matches the Rfam family "Bacterial small subunit ribosomal RNA", at positions 524 to 776 of the family's 1533-position model. The record is from RNAcentral.